CCUACGGGUGGCUGCAGUGGGGAAUAUUGCACAAUGGGGGAAACCCUGAUGCAGCGACGCCGCGUGAGUGAAGAAGUAAUUCGUUAUGUAAAGCUCUAUUAGCAGGGAAGAAAAUGACGGUACCUGAGUAAAAAGCCGCGGCUAACUCCGUGCCAGCAGCCGCGGUAAUACGUAGGGGGAAAGCGUUAUCCGGAUUUACUGGGUGUAGAGGGAGCGUAGACGGCAGUGCAAGUCUGGCGUGAAUGGCGGGGGCUCAACCCCCGGACUGCACUGGAAACUGUACGGCUGGAGUGCAGGAGAGGUAAGUGGAAUUCCUGGUGUAGCGGUGAAAUGCGUAGAUAUUAGGAGGAACACCAGUGGCGAAGGCGGCUUACUGGACUGUAACUGACGUUGAGGCUCGAAAGCGUGGGGAGCAAACAGGAUUAGAUACCCGUGUAGUC
Molecule: ribosomal RNA, 440 nt
Filed under: uncultured bacterium
Lineage: Bacteria
Description: partial 16S ribosomal RNA
Rfam family: Bacterial small subunit ribosomal RNA
Source: RNAcentral